Homo sapiens (human) is the source of this 366-nucleotide long non-coding RNA. RefSeq lists it as uncharacterized. The record is from RefSeq and is a predicted model, not a curated record. Lineage: Eukaryota; Metazoa; Chordata; Mammalia; Primates; Hominidae. The transcript has 4 exons.
CUUGGAUUUGGGCCAAUUUGGACAAACAGAGUUGGGAUAGUAAACAUUCCAAGAAGAGAACAGGAUAAACAGAACUGCAGUAAGGCCCCAAGAAGAUUGGUUGGUGCCCACCCAUAUGGAGGGCAGAUCUUCCACCCUCAGUUCACUAAGAUUCACAUGCAAAUCACCUCUGGAAUCAUCCUCACAGACAUACUAAAAAAUAAUGUUUUACCAGAUUUCCAGCCUAUUCACCAUGAAGAUGAUGAAGAUGAAAAUAUUUAUGAUGGCUCUACUUCCACUUAGUGAAUGAUUUAGAUCAAAUUCUGCCUUUGAAAACUUCACCUUUUUAUCUACAUGAAAGAUGGGGACAGAUGUUUCCAAUGCUUA